GAUGAACGCUGGCGGCGUGCCUAAUACAUGCAAGUCGAGCGAACAGACGAGGAGCUUGCUCCUCUGACGUUAGCGGCGGACGGGUGAGUAACACGUGGAUAACCUACCUAUAAGACUGGGAUAACUUCGGGAAACCGGAGCUAAUACCGGAUAACAUGUUGAACCGCAUGGUUCAACAGUGAAAGACGGUCUUGCUGUCACCUAUAGAUGGAUCCGCGCCGCAUUAGCUAGUUGGUAAGGUAACGGCUUACCAAGGCAACGAUGCGUAGCCGACCUGAGAGGGUGAUCGGCCACACUGGAACUGAGACACGGUCCAGACUCCUACGGGAGGCAGCAGUAGGGAAUCUUCCGCAAUGGGCGAAAGCCUGACGGAGCAACGCCGCGUGAGUGAAGAAGGUCUUCGGAUCGUAAAACUCUGUUAUUAGGGAAGAACAAAUGUGUAAGUAACUAUGCACGUCUUGACGGUACCUAAUCAGAAAGCCACGGCUAACUACGUG
RNAcentral lists this ribosomal RNA (497 nucleotides) under uncultured bacterium. RNAcentral's name for it is "partial 16S ribosomal RNA". It matches the Rfam family "Bacterial small subunit ribosomal RNA", at positions 28 to 507 of the family's 1533-position model. The record is from RNAcentral.